UACGUAGGGGGCAAGCGUUGUCCGGAUUUACUGGGCGUAAAGAGCGCGCAGGCGGUCGUUCAAGUCGCGUGUGAAAGCCCCCGGCUCAACUGGGGAGGGUCACGCGAUACUGAUCGACUCGAAGGCAGGAGAGGGUAGUGGAAUUCCCGGUGUAGUGGUGAAAUGCGUAGAUAUCGGGAGGAACACCAGUGGCGAUGGCGACUACCUGGCCUGUUCUUGACGCUGAGGCGCGAAAGCUAGGGGAGCAAACGGG
RNAcentral lists this ribosomal RNA (253 nucleotides) under uncultured bacterium. Its description in RNAcentral is "partial 16S ribosomal RNA". It matches the Rfam family "Bacterial small subunit ribosomal RNA", at positions 524 to 776 of the family's 1533-position model. The record is from RNAcentral.